RNAcentral lists this long non-coding RNA (217 nucleotides) under Mytilus galloprovincialis (Mediterranean mussel). Lineage: Eukaryota; Metazoa; Mollusca; Bivalvia; Mytilida; Mytilidae. The record is from RNAcentral.
UAUAUAUAUAUAUAUAAAAGUGACAACUAUGCGACAGAUCCAAUGACAGGAUCACCAGUGAAGGUGUUACACGACUGAAAAAAAAAAAUUCUAUAUUCAUAAUUAUAUACUUGUAUAUAUGGGAUUGACUGGUAGCAGGCUAGCCUCGAAUACAAAUUCAAUUAUUUUGUUGGACCCCUGAUCGAAUGACUUUAAGACUAUUUUUCGGCUUCUCCAC